Homo sapiens (human) is the source of this 99-nucleotide non-coding RNA. NCBI's taxonomy places the organism in Eukaryota, Metazoa, Chordata, Mammalia, Primates, Hominidae. The record is from the annotation of a RefSeq genome assembly.
GAUUUAUUGUCUCCAGAGACAAUGUCAAGAAUAUGCUAUAUCUGCAAAUGGGCGAUCUGUAAACCAAGAACACAUCAGUAUAUCACUGUGCAAGAGGAG